RNAcentral lists this ribosomal RNA (462 nucleotides) under uncultured bacterium. RNAcentral describes it as "partial 16S ribosomal RNA". It matches the Rfam family "Bacterial small subunit ribosomal RNA", at positions 338 to 795 of the family's 1533-position model. The record is from RNAcentral.
CCUACGGGAGGCAGCAGUGAGGAAUAUUGGUCAAUGGACGCAAGUCUGAACCAGCCAAGUAGCGUGCAGGAUGACGGCCCUCCGGGUUGUAAACUGCUUUUAGUUGGGAAUAAAAGGGGGCUCGUGAGCCCCGUAUUGUAUGUACCAUCAGAAAAAGGACCGGCUAAUUCCGUGCCAGCAGCCGCGGUAAUACGGAGGGUCCGGGCUUUAUCCGGAUUUAUUGGGUUUAAAGGGAGCGUAGGACGGCUUUUAAGUCCGCUGUGAAAGUCCUAGGCUCAACCGGGGAAGUGCAGUUGAAACUGGAGGCCUUGAGUGCACACAGGGAUGCCGGAAUUCAUGGUGUAGCGGUGAAAUGCUUAGAUAUCAUGAAGAACUCCGAUCGCGAAGGCAAGUGUCCGGGGUGCAACUGACGCUGAGGCUCGAAAGUGCGGGUAUCUAAUCCUGUUAGAUACCCUAGUAGUC